UUUAUGUCUAUUGCAUUAUGCCUGAAUAAUUUUCAGUCUUUUUUUUUUUCCUCUCCUCUUGCACGCACAUGCUAAAAUAACUAGACAAAGAUGCAAGGUGGUUGCUGCAGUCCCUGUCUCUAGGACAGAACCAAGAAAGCUUGUGAUUGCAAUACCACCUUUCCUUUUUUUUUUUUUUUUCCUCCUUUUUUUUUCUUCCCUAGCCAUGCUUGGUGAUUAAACUUCCUCAGGAUGGGGAAGAAAAAGGAGCUGGAAAUGAAAUAGGGUUGAGGAAAAAUCCCAUUGCAGCAGCUGCAGCCAGUGGUGACUGCUGCCAGAUGUGCGAAGGUUCCUGGGGUCCUUGUCACUAAAAGGCAGUAUUCAAAUAUUUGGAGACAAAAGCUGCAUCCUCAGUGAUCAUUUUCUUUAUUUAACAUGGCAGCAGGCAUCGUGUGGGGAAAAAUCAACAUGCUGGAUGUUGAAUCGGACUUUUAUCCUUUCUGGGAUGAAAGGAUGUUAUCUAUCCCGUGCCAAGAGGGAACUGAGGUACUGGUCUCUUAG
Molecule: long non-coding RNA, 540 nt
Filed under: Parus major (Great Tit)
Lineage: Eukaryota; Metazoa; Chordata; Aves; Passeriformes; Paridae
Description: lncRNA (ENSPMJG00000000914.1)
Source: RNAcentral